AGGUCCCUGCCUCUGCAGUGCGAAGAGAGUCCAGGAGUGGGCCCUAAAUCCAAUGACUAGUGUCUCUAUGAGAAGAAGAGAGGACACAUACAGACAUACGGGGAGGAAGGCCAUGUGAUGAUGGAGGCAGAGGUGGGAGUCAUGCUGCCACGAGCCGAGGAACACCUAGGACCACCAGAAACUGGAAGAGGCAAGGAAGGAUUCUUCCCUAGAGCCUUUGGACCUGCUGAUUCCUUGAUUCCUCACCUGUAGCAUAAAGAAUUGUGAGCAUAAAUCCCUGUUAUUUUCAACCACCUAGCUUGUGACAGUUUGUUACAGAAGCCCUGGGAAGCUAACACAGCCAGUAAAGCCAAAAGUUCCCCAGCCCACAGCUCACACUCUCCCAUUCACAUCGCCUCGUCCAGCAGUCGCAGCACAUCGUUACCUUUCCAGACCUUUUUUCUAUGCUUUUACAUAUCCAAUACUAUGGAUUGGAUAAGUAAUAUUUGGAAUGCUAUUACUAUCCAAGUACAUAGAAUGCUUACUAUCUGCCAGACACUGUUCUAAGUGCUGUUCAUACAUUAAAUCACUUUAUCCUCAUAGGAACUUUAUGAAGUAGGUGAUAGGAUUAUUUCUAUUUUACAGGUAAAGAAACUGAGGCACAGAAAAAUUAAGUUGCUUGCUCAAGCUCCCAGGGGAGAUCCAGGAUUGGACAGUCUGAUUCAGAAACUGUGCUCAUAAUCACCGUACUAUACUUUAUCUAGUUGACAAUAACCACAUUUGAUGAAUGUGGCAAAACCGCAGAACAGCAACUCAACAUUCUGCAGCCUUAGUCGCAGCCAGGCACCGUGGACCACAGCCAGGACGAGGGUGCUGCUGCCGCCGCCCCCAGGAGACCUGGGGAGCGUGGCCUUGUCUCCCAUAAGCAUUGCUUCUGAUUUACAGCCCUUAAAAGGCAGGAAACCCUCUAGAAUAAUGACUCAUUUUUAUUACACAUGGGCUUUCAGGGAAAUUUUAACAACCCCUAUUUCUCCUUUUUUAUACAGGUUACAUUUUUGGUCUAUUUUAAACAUCUUCAAAUCUGAUAAAUAUGGGUCCAUUCUCUAUAAGAUCUAGAAGUUGCCAUUUGAAGAGUAUUUUGCUGCAUCUUCCAGCUGUGAGCAUCAUACAUAGGGUAUAUGAUUGCAUGAAAAGAUACCUUCUUUUUUUUUUUUUUUUUUUUUUAGAUGGAGUCUCACUCUAUAACCCAGGCUGGAGUGCAGUGGUGAGAUCUCAGCUCAUUGUGGUCUCUGCCUCCUGGGUUCAAGCUAUCCUCCCACCUCAGCCUCCCGAAUAACUGGGAUUACAGGCAUGCACCACCCCACCCAGCUAAUUUUUGUAUUUUUAGUAGAGACGGGGUUUCACCCUGUUGGCCAGGCUGGUCUCAAACUCCUGACCUCAAGUGAUCCACCCACCUUAGCCUCCCAGAGUGCUGAGAUUACAGGUGUGAGCCACGGCCCCAGUGAAAAUGGAUCUUCACAUGCAAAGUUUCAAAUGGAAAGAAUAUUAGAAAUCACUUAGAUUGGGAGGCCGAGGCGGGCGGAUCACGAGGUUAGGAGAUUGAGACCAUCCUGCCUAACACGGUGAAACCCCGUCUCUACUAAAAAUACAAAAAAUUAGACAGGUGCGAUGGCCGGCGCCUGUAGUCCCAGCUACUCACGAGGCUGAGGCAGG
This 1692-nucleotide long non-coding RNA is filed under the name Homo sapiens (human). RNAcentral describes it as "HSALNT0048268". The record is from RNAcentral. Lineage: Eukaryota; Metazoa; Chordata; Mammalia; Primates; Hominidae.